This 292-nucleotide ribosomal RNA is filed under the name Bacillus subtilis. RNAcentral's name for it is "partial 16S ribosomal RNA". It matches the Rfam family "Bacterial small subunit ribosomal RNA", at positions 1232 to 1522 of the family's 1533-position model. Lineage: Bacteria; Bacillati; Bacillota; Bacilli; Caryophanales; Bacillaceae. The record is from RNAcentral.
GGACAGAACAAAGGGCAGCGAAACCGCGAGGUUAAGCCAAUCCCACAAAUCUGUUCUCAGUUCGGAUCGCAGUCUGCAACUCGACUGCGUGAAGCUGGAAUCGCUAGUAAUCGCGGAUCAGCAUGCCGCGGUGAAUACGUUCCCGGGCCUUGUACACACCGCCCGUCACACCACGAGAGUUUGUAACACCCGAAGUCGGUGAGGUAACCUUUUAGGAGCCAGCCGCCGAAGGUGGGACAGAUGAUUGGGGUGAAGUCGUAACAAGGUAGCCGUAUCGGAAGGUGCGGUUGGA